UACGAAGGGGGCUAGCGUUGCUCGGAUUUACUGGGCGUAAAGGGCGCGUAGGCGGAUCAGCAAGUUGGGGGUGAAAGCCCGGGGCUCAACCUCGGAACUGCCCUCAAAACUGUUGAUCUAGAGUUUGGGAGAGGUGUGUGGAACUCCGAGUGUAGAGGUGAAAUUCGUAGAUAUUCGGAAGAACACCAGUGGCGAAGGCGACACACUGGCCCAAUACUGACGCUGAGGCGCGAAAGCGUGGGGAGCAAACAGG
Molecule: ribosomal RNA, 253 nt
Filed under: uncultured prokaryote
Description: partial 16S ribosomal RNA
Rfam family: Bacterial small subunit ribosomal RNA
Source: RNAcentral